Molecule: ribosomal RNA, 255 nt
Filed under: uncultured bacterium
Lineage: Bacteria
Description: partial 16S ribosomal RNA
Rfam family: Bacterial small subunit ribosomal RNA
Source: RNAcentral
UACGUAGGGGGCAAGCGUUGUCCGGAUUUAUUGGGCGUAAAGAGCGUGUAGGCGGUUUGGUAGGUCCGUUGUGAAAACUCGAGGCUCAACCUCGAGACGCCGAUGGAAACCAUCAGACUAGAGUCCGGAAGAGGAGAGUGGAAUUCCUGGUGUAGCGGUGAAAUGCGCAGAUAUCAGGAAGAACACCCGUGGCUAAGGCGGCUCUCUAGUACGGUACUGACGCUGAGACGCGAAAAGCGUGGGGGAGCGAACAGG